UACGUAGGGGGCGAGCGUUGUCCGGAAUUAUUGGGCGUAAAGAGCGUGUAGGCGGCCAGGUAGGUCCGUUGUGAAAACUCGAGGCUCAACCUCGAGACGUCGAUGGAAACCAUCUGGCUAGAGUCCGGAAGAGGAGAGUGGAAUUCCUGGUGUAGCGGUGAAAUGCGCAGAUAUCAGGAAGAACACCUAUGGCGAAGGCAGCUCUCUGGGACGGUACUGACGCUGAGACGCGAAAGCGUGGGGAGCGAACAGG
Molecule: ribosomal RNA, 253 nt
Filed under: uncultured bacterium
Lineage: Bacteria
Description: partial 16S ribosomal RNA
Rfam family: Bacterial small subunit ribosomal RNA
Source: RNAcentral